RNAcentral lists this long non-coding RNA (799 nucleotides) under Ananas comosus (pineapple). RNAcentral's name for it is "long non-coding RNA (ACOM_LNC002993)". Lineage: Eukaryota; Viridiplantae; Streptophyta; Magnoliopsida; Poales; Bromeliaceae. The record is from RNAcentral.
GAGGGGAGGCUACCAAGUAGUGGGAGGUGGCAAUUCAGCUCGCUAUUCACAAGCCAGCUCGUGUUCGACUCUAAAUGAGCUCGAGAUCGAAUCGCUCGUUCAAUAAAUUAACGAGCAGAAUACGAGCUGGGAUCAGCUCGCUUAUGUUCGGCUCAAUAACGGCUCGAAUACAUAUAUAUUUUAUAUUUAUAUAAUAUAUACUUUUAUUAUUUUAUUUUUAGCAAAAUAAAAAUAUAAAGCCGAGCUCAAUUAUAAAAAGACUUAUUUAUAUGUAAAGUUUCAAUCUUUUGAUUAAAAUCUAAUAGGUAAGAUUUUAUAAAUUUAAUUUUUUAUAUAUAUUCAAAAUCCUUUUAACUUAUUAUUCGUUGACCGGCGCUCGUAUUCGGCUAGUUUAUUAACGAGCCGAAUACAAACUGAAUUUUUCAACUCGAUACAUUAAGCACCCGUUUGGUUCAGGGUUAAGGGGUGGAAUAACCUCUUAACCCCGAAGUUAUUCCUAAACACCUAAUUGGGAGGGUGGGGUUAGCUAAUCCCACCUCACCCCACUACUCCAAUCAAACAAAACACUUUUUUACCCCCUAUCUUUCUUAUUUCACUUACUCCAAUCAAACACUAUUUUACGUAAUUCUGUACUAACUCCAAUUCUCAAUCAAACAUAAAAUUAUUCUAAUCCCACCUUAACUCUGAACUUAACCCUAUCCUUAAAAUAACUAGCUUUUUUUUAAUCCCGAACCAAACGAUAGCUAAAGAACCAGCUCGUGUUCAAUAAACGAGCCGAACACUAGCCUCGACAACCCUA